ACGGGAGGCAGCAGUGGGGGAUAUUGCACAAUGGGGGAAACCCUGAUGCAGCGACGCCGCGUGAGUGAUGAAGUAUUUCGGUAUGUAAAGCUCUAUCAGCAGGGAAGAUAAUGACGGUACCUGACUAAGAAGCACCGGCUAAAUACGUGCCAGCAGCCGCGGUAAUACGUAUGGUGCAAGCGUUAUCCGGAUUUACUGGGUGUAAAGGGAGCGUAGACGGCGAGGCAAGCCAGAUGGGAAAGGCUGGGGCUCAACCCCGGGACUGCAUUUGGAACUGUCUGGCUAGAGUAUCGGAGAGGUAAGUGGAAUUCCUAGUGUAGCGGUGAAAUGCAUAGAUAUUAGGAGGAACACCAGUGGCGAAGGCGGCUUACUGGACGAUAACUGACGUUGAGGCUCGAAAGCGUGGGGAGCAAACAGGAUUAGAUACCCUGGUA
This 434-nucleotide ribosomal RNA is filed under the name uncultured bacterium. Its description in RNAcentral is "partial 16S ribosomal RNA". It matches the Rfam family "Bacterial small subunit ribosomal RNA", at positions 341 to 792 of the family's 1533-position model. The record is from RNAcentral.